Molecule: unclassified non-coding RNA, 443 nt
Filed under: Hevea brasiliensis (rubber tree)
Lineage: Eukaryota; Viridiplantae; Streptophyta; Magnoliopsida; Malpighiales; Euphorbiaceae
Source: RNAcentral
CAGGAAGUAACUCAUUUAAGCAAUUGAAAGUAGAAGCUUGAUCCAAAAUACUAACCAACUAAAAAUCAUAAUUCUUGGAUCUUAAACCGCAUACACAAAACAAGUCCAAAAACUAGUAUUCACUUUUGUAAGCAACCACAAGAGAUUGAACUAUGAUAACGAGAAUAAAAUAACAUAGACACAGGUUAGUACUUGCAGAUAGAUAAGGCAAUAAAUAGUUGCAAAAUAAGGCACAGUACACAUGGACUAAAGGGGUGAAUUUAAGAUGGAACUCUGUAACAUCAGCAAUAUAUUCACCAUAACCUUUUUCAACUACCUAUGUGUAAACAUAAUUUCUAGAAUAAUCAAUACACUGUUUGGUUAACAGUUUCAGCUAUUCUAGAACUCAAAGCAUUCCACCAAUUUAGAAGGACAACGAGAUACAAUUGGGAACCAAUACAAUG